GUGGGGAAUAUUGCACAAUGGGCGAAAGCCUGAUGCAGCAACGCCGCGUGAGGGACGACGGCCUUCGGGUUGUAAACCUCUUUUAGUAGGGAAGAAGCGAAAGUGACGGUACCUGCAGAAAAAGCACCGGCUAACUACGUGCCAGCAGCCGCGGUAAUACGUAGGGUGCAAGCGUUAUCCGGAAUUAUUGGGCGUAAAGAGCUCGUAGGCGGUCUGUCGCGUCUGCUGUGAAAACUGGAGGCUCAACCUCCAGCCUGCAGUGGGUACGGGCAGACUAGAGUUCGGUAGGGGAGAUUGGAAUUCCUGGUGUAGCGGUGGAAUGCGCAGAUAUCAGGAGGAACACCGAUGGGGAAGGCAGAUCUCUGGGCCGUAACUGACGCUGAGGAGCGAAAGCGUGGGGAGCGAACAGGAUUAGAAACCCCAGUAGUCC
Molecule: ribosomal RNA, 430 nt
Filed under: uncultured bacterium
Lineage: Bacteria
Description: partial 16S ribosomal RNA
Rfam family: Bacterial small subunit ribosomal RNA
Source: RNAcentral